This 349-nucleotide unclassified non-coding RNA is filed under the name soil metagenome. RNAcentral describes it as "partial contains 5.8S ribosomal RNA, internal transcribed spacer 2, and large subunit ribosomal RNA". The stretch from base 1 to 120 matches the Rfam family "5.8S ribosomal RNA", at positions 35 to 154 of the family's 154-position model. The record is from RNAcentral.
GAUGAAGAACGCAGCGAAAUGCGAUACGUAAUGUGAAUUGCAAAAUUCAGUGAAUCAUCGAGUCUUUGAACGCACAUUGCGCCCCCUGGUAUUCCGGGGGGCAUGCCUGUCCGAGCGUCAUUGCUGCCCUCAAGCACGGCUUGUGUGUUGGGCCUCCGCCCCCCGGCUCCCGGGGGGCGGGCCCGAAAGGCAGCGGCGGCACCGCGUCCGGUCCUCGAGCGUAUGGGGCUUCGUCACCCGCUCCGUAGGCCCGGCCGGCGCCCGCCGGCGACCCCCCUCAAUCUUUCCAGGUUGACCUCGGAUCAGGUAGGGAUACCCGCUGAACUUAAGCAUAUCAAUAAGCGGAGGA